UACGUAGGGGGCAAGCGUUGUCCGGAUUUAUUGGGCGUAAAGAGCGUGUAGGCGGCCUGAAAGGUCAGCUGUGAAAACUCGAGGCUCAACCUCGAGACGUCGGUUGAAACCAUCUGGCUAGAGUCCGGAAGAGGAGUGUGGAAGUUCCCGGUGUAGCGGUGAAAUGCGCAGAUAUCGGGAAGAACACCCGUGGCGAAGGCGGUUCUCUGGGACGGUACUGACGCUGAGACGCGAAAGCGUGGGGAGCGAACAGG
Molecule: ribosomal RNA, 254 nt
Filed under: uncultured bacterium
Lineage: Bacteria
Description: partial 16S ribosomal RNA
Rfam family: Bacterial small subunit ribosomal RNA
Source: RNAcentral